CUAUGAGACAGGUGCUGCAUGGCUGUCGUCAGCUCGUGUUGUGAAAUGUUGGGUUAAGUCCCGCAACGAGCGCAACCCUUAUCCUUUGUUGCUAGCAGGUAAUGCUGAGAACUCAAAGGAGACUGCCAGUGAUAAACUGGAGGAAGGUGGGGACGACGUCAAGUCAUCAUGGCCCUUACGAGUAGGGCUACACACGUGCUACAAUGGCGUAUACAGAGGGCGGCGAACCUGCGAAGGUAAGCGAAUCUCAGAAAGUACGUCUAAGUCCGGAUUGGAGUCUGCAACUCGACUCCAUGAAGUCGGAAUCGCUAGUAAUCGCGAAUCAGAAUGUCGCGGUGAAUACGUUCCCGGGCCUUGUACACACCGCCCGUCACACCAUGGGAGUGGGUUGUACCAGAAGUAGAUAGCUUAACCUUAGGGAGGGCGUUUACCACGGUAUGAUUCAUGACUGGGGUGAAGUCGUAACAAGGUAACCGUAGGGGAACCUGCGGUUGGAUCACCUCCUUA
RNAcentral lists this ribosomal RNA (507 nucleotides) under Pasteurella atlantica. Its description in RNAcentral is "bacterial SSU rRNA". It matches the Rfam family "Bacterial small subunit ribosomal RNA", at positions 1027 to 1533 of the family's 1533-position model. RNAcentral also lists the same sequence under 1 other name. Lineage: Bacteria; Pseudomonadati; Pseudomonadota; Gammaproteobacteria; Pasteurellales; Pasteurellaceae. The record is from RNAcentral.